CUACGGGAGGCAGCACGGGGGGAAUAUUGUGCAAUGGGGGCAACCCUGACGCAGCAAUGCCGCGUGAGUGAAGAAGGCCUUCGGGUCGUAAAGCUCUUUCAUGGGGGAAGAUGAUGACGGUACCCCAUGAAUAAGCCCCGGCUAACUACGUGCCA
This 155-nucleotide ribosomal RNA is filed under the name uncultured bacterium. RNAcentral describes it as "partial 16S ribosomal RNA". It matches the Rfam family "Bacterial small subunit ribosomal RNA", at positions 339 to 510 of the family's 1533-position model. The record is from RNAcentral.